UAGUUGGUGGCUCAGUGGUAGAGUUCAUGCUGUUGUAACUUGUAUGUAUGUAUGUAUGUAUGUAUGUAUGAUGUUCUAGGUUCAAUCCCCAGCUGGUUAA
Dallia pectoralis (Alaska blackfish) is the source of this 100-nucleotide non-coding RNA. The record is from the annotation of a GenBank genome assembly. NCBI's taxonomy places the organism in Eukaryota, Metazoa, Chordata, Actinopteri, Esociformes, Umbridae.